Molecule: ribosomal RNA, 440 nt
Filed under: Streptomyces brevispora
Lineage: Bacteria; Bacillati; Actinomycetota; Actinomycetes; Kitasatosporales; Streptomycetaceae
Description: bacterial SSU rRNA
Rfam family: Bacterial small subunit ribosomal RNA
Source: RNAcentral
AGUUUGGAUCAUGGCUCAGGACGAACGCUGGCGGCGUGCUUAACACAUGCAAGUCGAACGAUGAAGCCCUUCGGGGUGGAUUAGUGGCGAACGGGUGAGUAACACGUGGGCAAUCUGCCCUUCACUCUGGGACAAGCCCUGGAAACGGGGUCUAAUACCGGAUAAUACUUUCCCUCUCAUGGGGGAAGGUUAAAAGCUCCGGCGGUGAAGGAUGAGCCCGCGGCCUAUCAGCUAGUUGGUGGGGUAAUGGCCUACCAAGGCGACGACGGGUAGCCGGCCUGAGAGGGCGACCGGCCACACUGGGACUGAGACACGGCCCAGACUCCUACGGGAGGCAGCAGUGGGGAAUAUUGCACAAUGGGCGAAAGCCUGAUGCAGCGACGCCGCGUGAGGGAUGACGGCCUUCGGGUUGUAAACCUCUUUCAGCAGGGAAGAAGCGA